Molecule: transfer RNA, 76 nt
Filed under: Caudoviricetes sp.
Lineage: Duplodnaviria; Heunggongvirae; Uroviricota; Caudoviricetes
Description: tRNA-Trp
Rfam family: tRNA
About the family: Transfer RNA (tRNA) molecules are approximately 80 nucleotides in length. Their secondary structure includes four short double-helical elements and three loops (D, anti-codon, and T loops). Further hydrogen bonds mediate the characteristic L-shaped molecular structure. tRNAs have two regions of fundamental functional importance: the anti-codon, which is responsible for specific mRNA codon recognition, and the 3' end, to which the tRNAs corresponding amino acid is attached (by aminoacyl-tRNA synthetases). tRNAs cope with the degeneracy of the genetic code in two manners: having more than one tRNA (with a specific anti-codon) for a particular amino acid; and 'wobble' base-pairing, i.e. permitting non-standard base-pairing at the 3rd anti-codon position.
Source: RNAcentral
GGGGUUUUAAUAUAACUGGUAAAACACUCGUCUCCAAAACGAGAAGAUAAAGGUUCGAAUCCUUUAGGCCCUGCCA